GCACGUAGCUGACCUAAUACAUGCAAGUCGAGCGGAACAGAAAGGGAGCUUGCUCCCGGAUGUUAGCGGCGGACGGGCUGAGUAACACGUGGGUAACCUGCCUGUAAGACUGGGAUAACUCCGGGAAACCGGAGCUAAUACCGGAUAGUUCCUUGAACCGCAUGGUUCAAGGAUGAAAGACGGUUUCGGCUGUCACUUACAGAUGGACCCGCGGCGCAUUAGCUAGUUGGUGGGGUAAUGGCUCACCAAGGCGACGAUGCGUAGCCGACCUGAGAGGGUGAUCGGCCACACUGGGACUGAGACACGGCCCAGACUCCUACGGGAGGCAGCAGUAGGGAAUCUUCCGCAAUGGACGAAAGUCUGACGGAGCAACGCCGCGUGAGUGAUGAAGGUUUUCGGAUCGUAAAGCUCUGUUGUUAGGGAAGAACAAGUGCGAGAGUAACUGCUCGCACCUUGACGGUACCUAACCAGAAAGCCACGGCUAACUACGUGCCAGCAGCCGCGGUAAUACGUAGGUGGCAAGCGUUGUCCGGAAUUAUUGGGCGUAAAGGGCUCGCAGGCGGUUUCUUAAGUCUGAUGUGAAAGCCCCCGGCUCAACCGGGGAGGGUCAUUGGAAACUGGGAAACUUGAGUGCAGAAGAGGAGAGUGGAAUUCCACGUGUAGCGGUGAAAUGCGUAGAGAUGUGGAGGAACACCAGUGGCGAAGGCGACUCUCUGGUCUGUAACUGACGCUGAGGAGCUAAUUUCUGCUCUGC
Molecule: ribosomal RNA, 754 nt
Filed under: Bacillus pumilus
Lineage: Bacteria; Bacillati; Bacillota; Bacilli; Caryophanales; Bacillaceae
Description: bacterial SSU rRNA
Rfam family: Bacterial small subunit ribosomal RNA
Source: RNAcentral